Molecule: long non-coding RNA, 667 nt
Organism: Cyprinus carpio carpio
Lineage: Eukaryota; Metazoa; Chordata; Actinopteri; Cypriniformes; Cyprinidae
Source: Ensembl
CAGUAGGGGGAGACUGUGCAGUAUGACGAGCCAUCAGAACAGACCGAGUCUAAGCAACACGAAUAAGAGCCUGCGUGAGAGGGCCUCUUCUGAUAAGAAGAUAUUUCUCUGAUCCUUUUUGCCCCUUGCAUUAAAACACUCCACAUGGAUUCUGGAGCAAAAUCCACAUUAGCAGCGUGUUAAGUUUAGUAUGUUAAAACAUUAGCAUGUAGCUGUCAGGGGCGCCUUAAGAUAACCAAAGGCCCCUGGGCUACAGCAUUACAGUAGGCUCCCUGACCACAUAUUUUUUGUAACCUUCCUAAAAAUUAUUUGUUAUUUUUUUAUUUUAUUUUAUUUUAUUUAUUUUUUGUCUUCUUAAUAUGCCAGUUAACAUGCACAACACUGUUCUAUGUAAAAUGUGAAUAUAAGCAAAUAUGCAAAUUCACUCUUUGCCACAAGGUGAAACAGCAGAAUUAUAUAGCCGUCACAUAAAGUAAACAUUAUCUUAUUACAGGCAUUAUAUGGAGAUAAUAUGGAAGGAAAAUGCCAUCAAAACUUUCCUGGCUGAAAUGUCACCGUAGCCACCAGAUCCAGUCUGUUUCCAAGUCAGAGGGUCACUGCAGUCACCCGGAUCCAGUAUGUAUCCAGCCCAGAUGGUGGAUCAGCACCUAGAAAGGACCUCUACAGC